GGGGUUAUAUUUAAUUAUAAUAUUUGAAUUGCAAUCAAAAAGUAUCUCAAAAGGUUGACCUUU
RNAcentral lists this transfer RNA (63 nucleotides) under Nesophrosyne ogradyi. RNAcentral's name for it is "tRNA-Ala". Lineage: Eukaryota; Metazoa; Arthropoda; Insecta; Hemiptera; Cicadellidae. The record is from RNAcentral.